UGAAGCUUCUUGGUACCUCACCAUCCUACUCAAAAUGGAUAAAACAUGUGAUUCCCAGUGAUUUGGAACAGCUGUUGGCAGACAGCGACCCUCAUAGUUGAGACAUUUUAGGGAAUCCAAAGGCAAGAUAGGUUCCACCUGGUCUUUGGACGAGGCUCUUGUGCUUUUCCGGAAAAAUAGCCUUUGAAGAUGCAACAGGAAGAGCCCUACCUUGCAUUCAGUCAGGACCAAGUUCGCUUUACCGCCCCUGCAGGAGGAAGGAAGAUUUUCUUCUGACCUGGCAACAGCCCAGCCAAUGACAGAGGGCACAGCCAGCCAAUGAGAGAUGGUCACCACCCUGAACUCUCGCUUUCAUCCAGUGGACUUCUGUUCAAAGCAGCCCCUCACAACUUCCUCCUUUUUCUCUAUAAAGAGACAUUUCUCUGCUUUGUUUUCCAGACUUGCCAAUGGGUUGACAUAGUUUGUGUGUCCCCAAUUGUAGUUUCUCUGCUGUUCCUGAAUAAACCCAUUUUGCUUGUAAAA
This is a long non-coding RNA of Prionailurus viverrinus (fishing cat), 522 nucleotides long. RefSeq lists it as uncharacterized. The transcript has 2 exons. The record is from RefSeq and is a predicted model, not a curated record. NCBI's taxonomy places the organism in Eukaryota, Metazoa, Chordata, Mammalia, Carnivora, Felidae.